ACAAUAUGUAGCUCUACCUGUCAGUGUCAAGAUGGCUACUAUGAUACAGAUGGUACUGGAAAUAUUGGAGGACAGUGUAGUGCAAAGAAAGACCUAGGAGAAACAUGUACGGAUGUCUCCCAAUGUAGUGACACAAAUACGAUAUGUAGCUCUACCUGUCAGUGUAAAGUUGGCUACUAUGAUACAGAUGGUACUGGAAAUAUUGGAGGACAGUGUAGUGCAAAGAAAGACCUAGGAGAAACAUGUACGGAUGCCUCCCAAUGUAGUGACACAAAUACGAUAUGUAGCUCUACCUGUCAGUGUAAAGUUGGCUACUAUGAUACAGAUGGUACUGGAAAUAUUGGAGGACAGUGUAAUGCAA
This is a long non-coding RNA of Mercenaria mercenaria, 361 nucleotides long. RefSeq lists it as uncharacterized. NCBI's taxonomy places the organism in Eukaryota, Metazoa, Mollusca, Bivalvia, Venerida, Veneridae. The transcript is spliced from 3 exons. The record is from RefSeq and is a predicted model, not a curated record.